AGGGAAUUGGGAAUAAGAGUGGGAUCUAGGGAAAAGGAGUGGGAUUCCAGGAAAAGGGAGUGGGAACUCGGGGAAAAGGAGUGGGGGAUCGGGAAAAGGGAGUGGGGACUCGGGAAAAAUGAGUGGGGACUCGGGAAAAGCAAGUGGGGACUCGGGAAAAAGGAGUGGGGGAUCAGGAAAAGGGAGUGGGGACUCGGGAAAAGGGAAGGGCGGGGCCCGGGUAAAGGGAAGGGGAUCCCGGGAAAAGUGCUGGGGGCUUCUUCUCGCGGCAGGCCUCCCGGGCCGGGCUGGCUGCGGUCGGGAGAUGGCAGCAGCACUUUGCUCUUUGCUGGGACGGGCCAGGCCGGCCCCCGGGGGCUCUCCCCAUUCCCGGUGGGAUCAGCCCCGCUCCGGGAGCCUCCUGGCCCCGCAGCCGCCUCCGCAAGCCCGGCCCUGCUGAGCUGCCGCGAGAAGAAGCGCUCAGCACGUCCCAGCCCCAAUUCCCACCUGGAAACGCCUGGAGCGCCAUUCCCACCCCGCCCUGGGCAGCUGGGGAUGGAGAGGGAAGCGCUGGGGAAUGGCAGAGCAUCAGCUGAGCUGCCGAAUUUGCUUUGGAGCAGGGUCUGGACCUGGAAUCCAGGCGCUCUGAGCAUUCCCGGUGCUCCAUUCCCACCAGCCUGGGGGUGGUGCCGUGGGGACAUCCAUGGAAAUGUCCCUCGGGAAUGCUGCAGAAGGACGAGGUGCCCUCUGUGGCCCCGAGAGGCCACGGCAGGACCCCGACCCCGACCCUGGGGCCAGCCGGGGUGAAAAGGCUGCUUGGGAGAGGUCAGGAGGAGAAAACCAACCUGCUUUUCUUCGGCAAUUAUGAAGUGACAAAUUACCAGUGAAAGAGCUCAUCUGUCUGGAUUUGUUUGGAGCGUCCCCUCCUCGCCGCAAACCCGAGGCACGGAGAGGGCCGGGAUCACAGCCCCUCUCUUAAGGAUUUCCAAACACUCUGCUGACCCCCCACUCCAUCUCUGUCAGCGCUGGGGAUGCUCAGAAUUGAAGCCGAGCCUUUCCAAACACCCCCAGCUCAGCAUCUCCCACUCUCCCCGGAGCACGGGGAAUGGCAUUUCGCAGGGAAAGCUGGAGUCCCNNNNNNNNNNNNNNNNNNNNNNNNNNNNNNNNNNNNNN
RNAcentral lists this long non-coding RNA (1152 nucleotides) under Chloebia gouldiae (Gouldian finch). Its description in RNAcentral is "Erythrura gouldiae (Gouldian finch) lncRNA (ENSEGOG00005006010.1)". Lineage: Eukaryota; Metazoa; Chordata; Aves; Passeriformes; Passeridae. The record is from RNAcentral.